Coffea arabica (coffee) is the source of this 782-nucleotide non-coding RNA. Lineage: Eukaryota; Viridiplantae; Streptophyta; Magnoliopsida; Gentianales; Rubiaceae. The record is from RefSeq and is a predicted model, not a curated record.
GAUUUUGUUCUGAUUUUAGGCUUCUCAAGAGCUUAGCUUUUUUGCAGCUGGCAAUGAUUUUAGGCACUGGAGAAAGAAAAUAGUGAAGAUGGAAAUAAUUCUGAUUCUAGCAGUUAUUCUAAUGAUAAUGAGGACGAAAGGCCGGAGAGCAAAUCUAUCACCACCUCUUGGCCUCAAAGUUACAGGCAGUCCAUCGAUUUAUACAGUAGUGUACCAUCUCCAAGUCUUAACUUCCUGGGGACGCCUACGUUAUCAUGUUUAGGCAGCUCAUGUAUCUCUUAUUCAUUAACAAGAAGAUACACUCCUGAAGUACUCCCUUCUUCGCAAAACCUCUAUUACCACCAGUAGCAGAUGCACGUCGGCCACCAGAAAGGCGUAGUUCACAUUCUCUGCUGCCCUCCAUUCAAGGGAGGCCUUCCUUAAGAAAAGCAACUGCUGACAAGAAAUCAUCCAAGGUCUCACAUGAGGUUUCUCUUCCUAGCCAGAGUUCAUAUGGACAAGCUGUGGUGAAUGGCAUAAAUGUUCUUUGUGGUGUUGGAAUUCUUUCAACUACUUGUGCUGUCAAAGAAGGUGGAUGGGUUGGGCUCUCAAUUCUGUUUAUCUUUGCUGUUGUUUCUUACUACACUGGGAUUCUCCUGCAUUCCUGUUUGGACAGUCAACCUGGGCUCGAGACUUACCCGGAUAUUGGCCAUGCUGCCUUUGGUAAUGUGGGACGUAUUGCUACAUCUGUUUCACUCAUGCCAGAUCCAAAAGCUAGAUCAUAUUUAUGCAGCUCUUUGUCA